GAAAUUGUUCCAUUUCAGGACUGAAUGAAAAUUUUUGACUUUGCAGUCGGAAUUGCGAAGACAUUUUGACGUACAAAUCGAUCAUCUGACUUUGGUAUAGGGGCGAAAGACUAAUCGAACUAUCUAAUAG
Molecule: non-coding RNA, 130 nt
Filed under: Camelus ferus (Wild Bactrian camel)
Lineage: Eukaryota; Metazoa; Chordata; Mammalia; Artiodactyla; Camelidae
Source: Rfam by way of RNAcentral